AGAUCCUCUUUUUAAAAAAACCAAUUAGCAACAAAGAUAGAAUCCAAAAUACUGGAAUGAUUUUUUUCAAAGUUCCAAGAAAAAAAAAAAAAAAAAAAACAUUGGCCUAGAAUUCUGUGUCCUGUGAAAUUGUUUUUCAAGGUUGAAGAUAAAAUCAAGCCAUUUCAAAUACAUAGGCAACCGAACAAGUUGCUGCUCACAAAACAUCAUUAAAGAACUUGGGAAGUAUGUUCUUCAGGAAGCAGGGCUUGAUCCCAGAAACGAAGCCUGAGAGAGGGGCAGAUGUGAACAAAGAAAAUAUAACCAUGGAGGUACAGCUAAGCAAGAUAAGUGAAUAAUUUACAGGAUUUAUAAAGUAAAGUUAAAACUAAAAUCCUAGAAAGCAUUGGCAGAUAGGCAGUAAAAUUGUGAUUAGUUGAAGCAUUCUUAGGUCUUGACUUUUUUGGAACUGGGUAAAAAGAUAGACUAGCUUCAGACUUGUUAGGUUAAAUGUUCAUUGUAAAAAUUAUAGUGUGGAGUUCCCGUUGAGGCUCAGCAGUUAAUGAAUCUGACUAACAUCCUUGAGGGUGGAGGUUCAAUCCCUGGCCUUGCUCAGUGGGUUAAGGAUCCGGCUUUGCUGUGAGCUGUGGUGUAGGUCACAGACACGGCUCAAAUCCUGAGUUGUUGUGGCUGUGGCGUAGGCCGGCAUCUAUAGCUCUGAUUAAACCUCUAGCCUGGGAAUCUCCAUAUGCUGUGGGUGCAGCCCUAAAAAGGCAAACAAACAAAUAAAUAAAUAUUAUAGUGUGAGCACUGCAAGAAUAGAAAGAGAUGGUAUAAAUUUCAGAGCAGAAGAAGGAAAAUGGAAAGAAAGGAGGAAAAACAAAUAACCAACCCAAAAGAUGGUAAUAAAAAGACUUUAAAAAGAAAACAGAAAAGGUAAAACAAAUAACAAAAUAAAUAAUAGAUGUUAACCCAUAUUUAUUGAUAAGAAUGGUUGAAUAUUUUAGGACUAAAUUGGUAAAGAUUUUAUUCAUAUGCUAUUUAUUAGAGAUAUUCCUAAAACAUAAGACUUUAGAAAAGUCAAAAGGAAAAGGGUACACCAGAUACAUGCCACUGAAAAGCAAGUUGGAGCAGGUAUAUUAGUAUCAAAUCAAAAAACUUUAAGGCAGAGAACACAUUAUUUAAGUCAAAGUAGACCACUGACUAUUAAGUAAAGGGUCAAUUUAUUGAACUAUAAAAAUUCUAGGAGGUUCCUGUUGUGGCUCAGUGGAAAUGAAUCUGUCUAGCAUCCAUGAGGACACAGCUUCAAUCCCUGGCCUCGCUCAGUGGGUUAAGGAUCUGGCAUUGCCGUGAGCUGUGGUGUAGGUCACAGACACAGCUCAGAUCCUGUGUUGCUGUGGCUGUGGCAUAGGCCAGCAGCUACAGAUUCAAUUCGACCCCUAGCCUGGGAACCUUAAUAUGCCGUGAGUGUGCCCCCCCCCCCACCAAAAAAAAUCUAAACCUAUGUGAUUAUAAUACAGUUCCUAAAGAUAUAGAAGAUUUGACCAAAACAAACAAAAACUUGAACCAACAGACCUAUUUUGAACCCUGAACUCAGUAACCAAAGAAUACCCAUAAUUAUCAAACAUACAGAGAACAUUUACGAAACUUGAUCACAUUAGACUGUUAAGCAAGCCUCAAAAAAUUUCAGAGGAUAUUAUCAUUAAGAUAGAUCACAUCCUCUAGCUUAGAAAUUAAUAAGAAAGAGAUACUUUUGAGAAAUUAAAAGCAUGUUUGUAUAUAAUAUGAGUCAGGAGGAAAUCUGAAUUGAAAUCAGAAAAUUUUAAAACCGAAUGAUAAUUAAAAGACUACUUUCCAAAAGUCGUAAGGCAUAACUAUGUAGAGCAACUUGUAGCUUGUAUGAGAAAAGGAGAGAGGUUGAAAAUGAAUGAGUUAGGUAUCUAGCGUAAGAAGUUAAAGAACAAAUGCAUAAACUCAAGGAAAAUAGAUAAGAGAAAUAAAAGAAAAUAAAGUAUUGUAUAAUGGAAAGGAUUUUUUUAAUGCUCAAAUUUAGGUUUUUGAAAUAAAAUUUCAAAAAUAAACAUGGUCAAAAUCAAGGGAGAAGAUGGAGAAAAUUACUAGAAAGCAGAAAAGUGCUAGUGAUGAAAAAGAUGAUGUAAUUGAAUGUCAGUUGAAAUUAAAAGACUAAUAAAAGACUUAAGAACAACUUCAGGCUAAUAAAUUUGAAAACUUAGAUGAAAAGAAAAAAAA
RNAcentral lists this long non-coding RNA (2229 nucleotides) under Sus scrofa (pig). RNAcentral describes it as "lncRNA (ENSSSCG00060049246.1)". The record is from RNAcentral. Lineage: Eukaryota; Metazoa; Chordata; Mammalia; Artiodactyla; Suidae.